GUGCCAGCAGCUGCGGUUAUACAAAGAAUACAAGUAAAUUAUAUUGGACAAGAGUUAAAUAAUUAUUUAUUUAAUAAAUAGUAAUUUUUUAGGUGAAAUUUUAAUUUACUUAAAUUAAUAAAUUUAGAAUUAUUGAAGCUUAGAAAUUUUUGUUAUAAACUAGGAUUAGAUACCCUAUUAUAAAAAUUGUAUAAUUGAGAUGUCAGAGUAGUAUUAGUUAAGGUCUUGAAACUCAAAAAAUUUGGCGGUAUUUUAGUCUAUUUAGAGGAACCUGUAGUAUAAUCGAUAAUCCACGAUGGACCUCACUUAAUUUUGUUUUUCAGUUUGUAUACCGCUGUUAUUUGAAGAUUUUAUAAGAAUAUUAAUUUUCAGGAUUUUUAAUUAAAAAAUAUAUCAGGUCAAGGUGCAGCUUAUGAUUAAGAAUUUAUGGGUUACAAUAAAAUUAUUUAUACGAAUAAAAAUAUGAAAUUAUUUUUUGAAGGUGGAUUUAAUAGUAAAUUUUUAAAGAUAAAAGAAUUGAUUUUAGCUCUAA
This 532-nucleotide ribosomal RNA is filed under the name Dolichopus exsul. Its description in RNAcentral is "partial 12S ribosomal RNA". Lineage: Eukaryota; Metazoa; Arthropoda; Insecta; Diptera; Dolichopodidae. The record is from RNAcentral.